GACGCAGUGAAAAGACUGCCAUGGCAAAGGCUCAAAUGGUUGAAGUUCUUUGCUUUUUAAUAAUAUAAGUUCCCUAUAUUUUUCUUCGGGCUCCGGAUAUUUUUUGUUCAGGCAUCUAGGACAGCCGGUCAUUAUUUACUUUGAUUUUGUUCAGGCACCUCCACGGACAACCUGUGAGGUCCUGACCAUAGGAUAGACAGGCAACCAAAGUUUCCAAAAACACCCCGGCGCCAUGUACCGAGUUCACCUCUGUACCGAUAUCAAAAUAGAUUAAAGACCCAACUCUAACCUAAUCCAAUAAACUGUAGUGAAGACUACAGGCAGUAAAACACUGAUUAUGGGGAUCAAACAGACAGAUGAAGAUAUCAGUGGGAUAUUAUUGGAUAAGUUAGUACUAUUUAUAGAAAAUGAGAACCGCAUAUACAAUCUCGGUAUGAUGUGAACUCAGAUCAUGAAACCGGCAAGCUUUCGGUACCAACCGAUCACAAGAGAGGUUGCCAAGUGUGUGGAGACUACCCUUGCUCUGACAACAACCGAUCAUCUACACAAUAUUCGGCCUAAUGACUUCGUGAUCAUCUACAACACCAACCGGAGGUGGACCAACCAGAGGUGGACCGACCCUUUCCGCGUUCAGCUGACGACCCACACUGCAGUGAAGGUCGCGGAGCGGGCGACAUGGACCCAAGCAGAUGAUUGCCGACACCAGCUGAUGCUGAGACGGAGGCUGACCGAACAACGAAGCAGGAAACGACAAGGCCACUGAGUGAGGCGCCGUAAUAACAACUACACCGUCUAAGCUGGCUUCUCAGGUGCGGUGCACAAAGAAGCGUUCCUUUGCCUUGUGGGAUCACAGGAGCUGAUUGCCUAGAUUAAGCCCUGAGGACCCCGCCAACGUGGGAUUUUUGUUCUUCCUUUGCUUUGUUUAUAAGCCACACCCAUGGAAGGCUUAUAGCUAGGUGGAGGGUGGACAACCUCACACCCGGCUGCAAGAUGAUACAGUCACAAGGCCUUCCGCUGUGAUCAUCGAGGAACAGACUGAAGGUUCUGUACUCAUGAUGCCGCCAAUCAAGUGCGGUGAUUCUAACCAUGGUUCCACUAUUCUUCUGGCUAUUGAUGACCCCAGUUACCAAUGGGGCCACUGAACUCAGUCAAUGAACACGAGUGAUGUCCUUGAUGUAAAUGAUGAUUUUUGAUAGUAGUAGAGGUUGAUUUUUGAUGAUUCAUGCCAUUGAUAAUAACGAUGAAGUUUUUAAGGCUUAUUUCUACAUUUUUCUUGCUCUCUCAGAUAUGUCUGUGUCUCACAAAAGAAGAAUAUAUCCAAUGUAAGGUGUUCGUUUUCCGUUUUUCGUUUUCUAUACUGAAGCAAAAGAUCUUGAAUUGGAAAAACAAGGUGUUUUCCGUUGUUUCAUUUUGGUUUUGGAAACAUAUCAAAUAAUGAGUGUUUUUUUUUUUUUUUUUUUUUUUUUCAUGUUUUUUGUUACAUAAUAAAAACAAAUGAUACACGGAUUUGUGUACCCUU
Molecule: long non-coding RNA, 1519 nt
Filed under: Gouania willdenowi (blunt-snouted clingfish)
Lineage: Eukaryota; Metazoa; Chordata; Actinopteri; Blenniiformes; Gobiesocidae
Description: lncRNA (ENSGWIG00000010638.1)
Source: RNAcentral